GACGAACGCUGGCGGCGUGCCUAAUACAUGCAAGUAGAACGCACAGUUUAUACCGUAGCUUGCUACACCAUAGACUGUGAGUUGCGAACGGGUGAGUAACGCGUAGGUAACCUGCCUGGCAGCGGGGGAUAACUAUUGGAAACGAUAGCUAAUACCGCAUAAUAUUAAUUAUUGCAUGAUAAUUAAUUGAAAGGUGCAAUUGCACCACUACCAGAUGGACCUGCGUUGUAUUAGCUAGUAGGUGAGGUAACGGCUCACCUAGGCGACGAUACAUAGCCGACCUGAGAGGGUGAUCGGCUACACUGGGACUGAGACACGGCCCAGACUCCUACGGGAGGCAGCAGUAGGGAAUCUUCGGCAAUGGACGAAAGUCUGACCGAGCAACGCCGCGUGAGUGAAGAAGGUUUUCGGAUCGUAAAGCUCUGUUGUAAGAGAAGGACGGGUGUGAGAGUGGAAAGUUCACACUGUGACGGUAUCUUACCAGAAAGGGACGGCUAACUACGUG
This 505-nucleotide ribosomal RNA is filed under the name uncultured bacterium. RNAcentral's name for it is "partial 16S ribosomal RNA". It matches the Rfam family "Bacterial small subunit ribosomal RNA", at positions 28 to 507 of the family's 1533-position model. The record is from RNAcentral.